GGAGAAGCCUCACGGAGAAAACCAAGUGUCAGCCGUUCGGAGUUAAAAUUCUAAAUUCAGUAAAGAAAAAAGCCAAAAUAUUAGACCCCUUAAUUCCAUUGAAAGCCAAACAAUCAAUUCAUAAAACAUUAACCCAAAGCCCCAGAGUGGAAAACUCUGAAGCAAAUCAAGUGAGAAAAAAUAUUUCAGGAGGGCAGCAGCAACCACCACCUCCGAUCCAAGUCUCAUGAAUUUUCAAAGAUAACAGAGAAAAUCUUUGCCAUCAAUCAGUAUUACGUUCACAUUAAAAGUACAAGAUGAUUCAUGUUCAUUCCUUCGAAUUACACUUCACAUGACAUCUCACUAUUUUUAUUUAUUUAUUUUUUUUUUCCCAUCUCCUCAAACUCCAAUGGGGCAACUGCACCCACCAGACCAUUUCGCUCGACUUGCCACAAUGCUACUGCACGAGGAACCAUCCACCUUAGUAUUUCCCAUCAUGUUUAACAAAA
RNAcentral lists this long non-coding RNA (488 nucleotides) under Olea europaea (common olive). Its description in RNAcentral is "long non-coding RNA (OEUR_LNC006582)". The record is from RNAcentral. Lineage: Eukaryota; Viridiplantae; Streptophyta; Magnoliopsida; Lamiales; Oleaceae.